Psammomys obesus (fat sand rat) is the source of this 141-nucleotide small nucleolar RNA. RefSeq annotates it as small nucleolar RNA SNORA48. The record is from RefSeq and is a predicted model, not a curated record. The transcript has a single exon. Lineage: Eukaryota; Metazoa; Chordata; Mammalia; Rodentia; Muridae.
UCCCCUUGCAAUGGGCAAAGAGACAGCUGUUUGGUGGUGUUGUUCUUAUAACUCAGAGGUAGAGAAGCUGUCAGUCCUUUGUUUAUCUUAGCUUGAAGCCAGGCUUGAUGGUUAAAGUUGUUUUAUGCCUAGGACACAUAA